Molecule: long non-coding RNA, 667 nt
Filed under: Malus domestica (apple)
Lineage: Eukaryota; Viridiplantae; Streptophyta; Magnoliopsida; Rosales; Rosaceae
Description: long non-coding RNA (MDOM_LNC007994)
Source: RNAcentral
UGCUAAUUCCAGGCAAACUCUUGCUGGAACCCCUUUGAAAUUUAUCAUUAGGGGAAUCCAAAGCAAUUUCGAGGGAAUUGCACGCGAUCAGUUGGUUUAGUAGUUUUCAGUCUUUAGUUGGUUGAAUAAAAAUUUAGUUUUAAGUUAUUUUGAUUCGAUGUUACACAAGUUUGAAAUGAGUUCGAUACUAAAUUAUGAACACUUGUAAUUUAUUGUGAGUAUGUUAAUGAGUUGCUUUAAAGUAGUUACUUAAGGGUACGAUUGAGAUUGCUUAUGGAAUUACUAAAAUGUUUUAUAACUACUAGAAACGUUUAUGAUUGUUUGGAAAAAAAAAUAAGGUUAAAGCACUUGUUCCGUUAUUUAUAUGAAGACACUUAGAAUUUUGAGUUAUUUGUCGAUUUUCACCUUAAAUUUGUAGAAUUUGGCCAAUUUUUCUAUUCAACUUUAAUUUUAGCCAACCAUGGGCAAAAUGCUAUUUUUUAGGUUUUAUUCCCCAUCCAAACCCAACCCAACUCAUGAUAAAUGUGUGGGCUAAAAGCUAAAUCCCAAACAAAAACCAAAUUCUCCCCAGGAUUUAGCCCAAAAAUGGUGUGGGCACCAUCAACGGAAUCCUACCCACUUGGACAUGUCUUACAUGAUUGAUUGAAUUCAACGGCAGAGAUCGAAU